GCCCGGGUAGCGCAGUGGUUAAGGCAACUGCCUGAUAAGCAGGAGAUCCCGGGUUCGAAUCCCGGUCCGGCUCACA
Schistocerca cancellata (South American locust) is the source of this 76-nucleotide non-coding RNA. The record is from the annotation of a RefSeq genome assembly. NCBI's taxonomy places the organism in Eukaryota, Metazoa, Arthropoda, Insecta, Orthoptera, Acrididae.